AUGCGUCCGAUAUCCACUACCGCUGUCCGUAAAAACGGAGGGCCAGACAGUGUUGAGGCCGCGGUGGAAAUGCCACACAGCCGCAUACUAAACGCAAGAAAAACAGCACACACUCGAAAUGUGCUCUCACCAAUGGGAUUAUAUUUCUGUGUAAAUGAGCGGCGCGCCCCUCCCAUUCUUAAAAAGUCCACAGCUACAGUCCAGAAGGACUUCCAGCGAGACUUGCUGAUGAGAGGCCGAGGGUCCACAAGCGGAAGACUGAGACCAAAAGCGAAAAAAAGACGCAGAGUGUCCCUCUCCAUCCAAGUGGACAUGACACGAGUAAAUGCGUUGCCUAGUUACAACUCCAUGCACGUGUUCCUCACAGGACACCGUGAGACAAGGAGCGUUGUGCUCAGCGAGUGGGACAAAAUAGAAGCUUUCUGUUAAAAAGGAGCGUAGACAACAACGCUCUAUGAGAUAAACACAACGUUACACUGGUUGUAACUCGACCUGAGAGGAGUUGGGUUUAAACCAGACACACAGGGAGGGGAAAAAAACACAAAUUGAGAGGCCAAGGGAACGCAACACGGUAUUUAAACACGGAAAACUUUAAUAGUUUCAACACAGGGUGUUAAAGGGGGAAACGCGGCCGUCUUCUUAGUAAUCAAAGCAUUUUGUUUGGAAAUCGGACCACACAGAACUUUUCCUGCAGAUUUGUUAUGGGUGAAAUGCAAAAAUAACAAAAGAGCUAAAGCGGCUGUUCCCAAUUUCUUUGGUAAGCUACGGUAAACAAUUCCUGGACAUUCUUAGGCCAUAUUCUUUUCAUUUUAGCACCACCAUCAUCCUGUUUGUGGGAACCUGUUCAGCGACAGAACUGGCAUCCGGUCUCAGGCGCCUCGUCGGACAAAAACCAUGGCAUGAAUUCACUGAUGUGACCCAUGGGUACGGACACAAAAGUGGUUUUAUUGUUCUCAUCAAGCUCCAAAAAGAGAACAACAUCACUCCUAAAUAUUUGAUGCAUUGGACCCUCAUCUUUUUUGGGAGCAGCAGCAGCUGGAUGACACCUGUUCCUGUACAGCGACUUCCCACAAGCCACCGACCACCAGACGCCGGGCCGGGUCGCUGCCAUCUACCCGCCGCGCCGGGACUUGGUAAACUGGUCACAUAUAAAGUAUUUUUUUUUUUCCCAAGCGUCACAAUAGUCCUGUCUGUGACGACGUCAGCACAAUGCAUGUUCUCUUGCAUUUAACCAACAUCCUGCCUCGGACGUGUCGGGAAGGGGAAUUCAAUGAUGUGGCAGCUUCUGCAUCUGUAUCCUGCUUGCAGCUGGCAAAAGACCUUUCUACCCCAUAACUGAGAGGGUCCUUACAGGACGCAUCUCCCAAGAACGCUAUUUUCAAAAGAAAAUCUUCCAAAUAUUAUUUUAAACAUUUCCAGACUCCUCAUACGUCUGGUAUGGACCCAAAUGUAAAAAUCAACCGUCAAAUUUGCUAUUUGGUAGCAUAAUAUUAUCGGGCAUGAAAAUAAAUAUUGUUCUUAGGGGUUAGAGGCAUAAAUCCAUUGGUUAGGAGGUGACAAAUACAGACAGGAAAUCUGUUUCCACUCAACAUAUUUUUUCAGCCAAUACCAACUUUUGAGGCCUAAAGUAAUUUGUGCGUUCAACACAACCUUAAAAAUCCACUGGAACACCAGACAAAAGUAAAGAAAGACUUGCAAUCCACCACAUAUUAUUACUACAUAAGUUGUAAGUACGCUUUAAAGAGGGGUGUCACGGGGGAAGUUUAUUUACUUACUACAGCAUGGUAAAUGUCUCUUUGAAAGGGCCGGAGGACAUAAUCAUUUCUAUUGAUGUGGUACAGAAACUUCAAACUGUUUCAUGAAGCUUUUAACACCUGCCAGAGCAGGACAUUCAUCACGGCGCAGCGAGGAGGAGAAUUAAAGGGAAUAAACCACCUCCUCCAACCUGGCUGAAAAGCUGCAGCGUCUCCCAUCUACGACAUUGCGGGUGUCAUUUGUAUUUGUCUGUUGGGCUACAUGCUAAAAGGUUUUUAUUGGCCUCUGCGCGAUUACUAAAUCAUCUUCAACAAACUCGGCCGGUUACCCACACAUUCCAGGGAGUGAGUGGAGUCGGGACACCUGGCCUUAAAUAACCCCCUCAUGGCCUGUAAAAAAACAGAAGUAGGAAUUUCUCAUUUCUGUGCUCAUAAAUGAAAGUUCAGAUGAAAAAAAAAAUGAAAAAAAAGCUUCCUAACAAAAUGACGUCGAGUCUGGAUGGAAGGAGUGGUCCAUCCUGAGAGGUGCCUCCGAUUAUAUCUGCAAGGAACAAAGCAGCCACUCUCUUAAAAAAAAACAAAAAUCAGACACACUUGAGCACAAAAAUAAACCCUCUGGCUGGCGGAAUAGGUCACUGGGAUACCACGGGACGAGCCCACGGGACGAGCCCACGGGACGAGCCCACGGGACGAGCCCACGGGACGAGNNNNNNNNNNNNNNNNNNNNNNNNNNNNNNNNNNNNNNNNNNNNNNNNNNNNNNNNNNNNNNNNNNNNNNNNNNNNNNNNNNNNNNNNNNNNNNNNNNNNCAGGAUGCAGAGCUCAAGCGUUUCCUGCCUCAGAUUAAAGAAGGCCCAUCUUGGAGGCUUUUGCUUGCAUUCUGGGGCUUUUUUCAUUUGACCUGGUCGCAGAUGGGCCUCCGUCCAUAAACCUCCUCCGCCCUGCUGAACGGCCGCCAGGGCAACGGAGAGAUAAACACUCGGUGGCAAUAAUUGAUACCACGGACAAACAAAGAUGCCAGUGAGAGAAAGGGCACGCUGUCCUCCGCUCCUUCCGUCACUGCUGAUUCACAUCCUCUACUCGGCUUUCUUCUCCUCCCCCUUCUCUCUUAUUCAAAGUCAUUCGUUCUUCUCUCUGGAGCUGCGUCUCUCUGUCUGUCAAUCCUCUUAAGCGCAGCGUCCUCCCACACACUUCUCCUUCUGUUUUAAAUAUAGAGGCCUCGAUGGGCUGGUGCUUUACUUAGCCGGCAGAUGUGCAAUUACGAAAAGGACCAUUUGGACCACAAUAGCACCCCGGGGGCAGAGCUCUGAGGCCUGUUACGUCCUGUCUCGCUCUCUCUCGCUCUUUGGCCGUUUCCUUUUUCAAAUUGCAGUUUUUCUCUCUUUGUCUCAGGUCACAAUUGCCGCUGCCGCUCGCGGAAAAAGCCAACGCCUUGAUCAUCGGCCCGUGUUUCCCCGACCCAACCUGCUGCACCUGUAAAACCAUGUGGACGGACUAUUAUUCUCCUCACUUGGAUAUACAUACAGUCUGGGUUGUCAUUAUGCUUAUUUUCAAGGCCUGUAAAACCUGUGUGUGUGUGUGUAGGAGGGGGGGGGGGGGGGUUGUUGUCAUGCCCUGGAGCUGCUCUAUUUGGUCUAAAACUCUCCUGCAGGGUCACAGCUGGGACAUCUGCUCCUCAUACACUCAUUUCUUCUCUUUCCAGGGUUAGGGUUACUUUGGGAGUUCCUUCUUUCCUUAUCCACCCACCCGAACAUUCAUGGCUGAAAUGACAGCGAGAAACCAAAUCAACACGCUGUUACAGACCUUUACAAGGUGGCUCAAAGCAAAACAACUAGAGGCUCCCUCUUUGUGACUGUCUCACCCCGAGCCGGACUGACUAAUGUGGAAGGUAUGUGCUGAGCCUACAACCUCUGCCGCCGUUGGCCUCUGGAAUUCGGCUUCACGCGAGGAACGCCCAACCUCCACCAGUCACACCGAACCCUCCUGCUGCUGCCGGUGCCCACUCUCCCUUCUUAAAGACACCGCCGUCUCGCUCCGUCCAUCAUUUACGCAUGCUCGGGUCUGAGCACUGCAGACGGAGGCGGGUGGCAGGCGAGGGAGGAGUGGUGGUGUGUAAGGAGCGGUUUGGGGGGGGGGUCUAAAUCUGGGAAUCAAAGAGUCUGGCCGGGUGGAGGGGAUCAAAGCCGCCGGCCACACAGGUUUAAACCAAAACCAUGAAAAGGUCCGCAGUGAGAGAACGAUCAUCAACGGGGCUGAGCUUCUCUGAAAGGUCGCUAAAUGUGUCGUCUGCACAUCAUUGCUAUAUAUGUAUGAAUGUAUACACACACACACAUUUAUAUACAGAGUAUUCAGUAUGCAAAUGACUAUGUUUAGUGGUUGCCUGAAAGCAGUUCUUGUUUCUCUGGAGAGAAUAAGCAUGUUUGGAGGCCUUAUAGUCCUCUGCCUUUGACUACAACAGAACAGCCAGCAGGACCUAAAACGAAAUAAAGUGGUUGAAGCUUCCGAUUUUCAUCUCAUUUCAGGUCUCAAACCAAUAACAACUGUUAAAAUUACAUCAAAAGAGGACAAUGGCAACAGUGCCUCUCCCCCACAUUCCUCCAUUUUCUACCAGCUCAUUGUUGAGCUUUUUUGAAACGUGGGUACUUUAACGACUCAAAAUGAACGCGGUUUCUCAUCCGCUUUACAGUAUGACUGAAGAAAGACGGUAGGAGGUUUACCCCAAAUCCUUCAGCAAUUAAGGUCAUUAAGGACGAGAAGAAUAUAAGCCGGGCUCAUAUUCCUCAGAGGGACCAGCGUGUUUGUUGAUAGGGCUUCAGUUUCCAUGACACAGCUCUCCUGAGGAGAACAAUUCCCAUCAAGCGUCUCUGCAGCCUUUCGCUGAGAACUCGGGGGCGAUCAGUCUUCCAGAAC
Molecule: long non-coding RNA, 4662 nt
Organism: Gasterosteus aculeatus (three-spined stickleback)
Lineage: Eukaryota; Metazoa; Chordata; Actinopteri; Perciformes; Gasterosteidae
Source: Ensembl